Molecule: long non-coding RNA, 242 nt
Organism: Leopardus geoffroyi (Geoffroy's cat)
Lineage: Eukaryota; Metazoa; Chordata; Mammalia; Carnivora; Felidae
Exons: 3
Source: RefSeq, a predicted model, not a curated record
CAUGUAUAGUUAGCACUCACUACAAAUACAUAAGGGAAAAAGCCAUAGUAGAGAGCCUUAGCACAGGGAAGAGAAAUACUGACUGGUGGCUAAUGAUGAAUCUGUUAUAAAAGCUACAUUACUAUGAAGUCCACUCAGUAAAGAAGUUAUGCUCCAGGACAGAACAAACUCCACAAAUAAAGGAAGAGAAGAGGCCUCAUCAAAGAAGGAGUCCCAGAAGAAAACAAGAGGGAAAAGGAAGC